Molecule: ribosomal RNA, 448 nt
Filed under: uncultured bacterium
Lineage: Bacteria
Description: bacterial SSU rRNA
Rfam family: Bacterial small subunit ribosomal RNA
Source: RNAcentral
UCGGGAAUUUUGGGCAAUGGGGGAAACCCUGACCCAGCAACGCCGCGUGAAGGAUGAAGUAUUUCGGUAUGUAAACUUCGAAAGAAUAGGAAGAAUAAAUGACGGUACUAUUUUAUAAGGUCCGGCUAACUACGUGCCAGCAGCCGCGGUAAUACGUAGGGACCAAGCGUUGUUCGGAUUUACUGGGCGUAAAGGGCGCGUAGGCGGCAUGACAAGUCACUUGUGAAAUCUCUGGGCUUAACCCAGAACGGCCAAGUGAUACUGUCGCGCUAGAGUGCAGAAGGGGCAAUCGGAAUUCUUGGUGUAGCGGUGAAAUGCGUAGAUAUCAAGAGGAACACCUGAGGUGAAGACGGGUUGCUGGGCUGACACUGACGCUGAGGCGCGAAAGCCAGGGGAGCAAACGGGAUUAGAUACCCCGGUAGUCCCUGAGCGGGCUGGCAAGGCGCAU